Molecule: unclassified non-coding RNA, 211 nt
Filed under: plant metagenome
Description: partial contains small subunit ribosomal RNA, internal transcribed spacer 1, and 5.8S ribosomal RNA
Source: RNAcentral
UUUCCGUAGGUGAACCUGCGGAAGGAUCAUUCAUAAUAAAGUGUUUUAUGGCACUUUUUAAAAAUCCUUAUCCACCUUGUGUGCAAUGUUAGAUCUCGUCAAUCUUGGCGAGAUUUUUAUACAUCAACUCAUUCUUUAACUAAUUUGUCUGAAAAAUAUUAUGAAUACUUAAUUCAAAAUACAACUUUCAACAACGGAUCUCUUGGCUCUC